This 343-nucleotide unclassified non-coding RNA is filed under the name soil metagenome. Its description in RNAcentral is "partial contains 5.8S ribosomal RNA, internal transcribed spacer 2, and large subunit ribosomal RNA". The stretch from base 1 to 120 matches the Rfam family "5.8S ribosomal RNA", at positions 35 to 154 of the family's 154-position model. The record is from RNAcentral.
GAUGAAGAACGUAGCGAAAUGCGAUAAGUAAUGUGAAUUGCAGAAUUCAGUGAAUCAUCGAAUCUUUGAACGCACAUUGCGCCCGCUAGUAUUCUGGCGGGCAUGCCUGUCCGAGCGUCAUUUCAACACUCAAGCCCCCGGGCUUGGUGUUGGGGAUCGGCGAGCCUCCGCGCCCGCCGUCCCCUAAAUCUAGUGGCGGUCUCGCUGUAGCUUCCUCUGCGUAGUAGCACACCUCGCACUGGGAAACAGCGCGGCCACGCCGUUAAACCCCCAACUUCUGAACGUUUGACCUCGGAUCAGGUAGGAAUACCCGCUGAACUUAAGCAUAUCAAUAAGCGGAGGA